This 460-nucleotide ribosomal RNA is filed under the name uncultured bacterium. RNAcentral describes it as "partial 16S ribosomal RNA". It matches the Rfam family "Bacterial small subunit ribosomal RNA", at positions 338 to 795 of the family's 1533-position model. The record is from RNAcentral.
CCUACGGGUGACAGCAGUGAGGAAUAUUGGUCAAUGGACGAGAGUCUGAACCAGCCAAGUAGCGUGAAGGAUGACUGCCCUCUGGGUUGUAAACUUCUUUUAUAUGGGAAUAAAAUGUUCCACGUGUGGGCUUUUGUAUGUACCAUAUGAAUAAGGAUCGGCUAACUCCGUGCCAGCAGCCGCGGUAAUACGGAGGAUCCGAGCGUUAUCCGGAUUUAUUGGGUUUAAAGGGAGCGUAGGUGGAUUGUUAAGUCAGUUGUGAAAGUUUGCGGCUCAACCGUAAAAUUGCAGUUGAAACUGGCAGUCUUGAGUACAGUAGAGGUGGGCGGAAUUCGUGGUGUAGCGGUGAAAUGCUUAGAUAUCACGAAGAACUCCGAUUGCGAAGGCAGCUCACUGGACUGCAACUGACACUGAGGCUCGAAAGUGUGGGUAUCAAACAGGAUUAGAUACCCUAGUAGUC